Molecule: long non-coding RNA, 832 nt
Organism: Cygnus olor (mute swan)
Lineage: Eukaryota; Metazoa; Chordata; Aves; Anseriformes; Anatidae
Exons: 2
Source: RefSeq, a predicted model, not a curated record
CUCAGGGCUUCUGCUCUGAGUUGCUCUGCGCUGUUUUUGUGUAAGUUUGGGAUUUUCUGUAGUGACUCUUUGCAGAAAUUACGUCCGUUGCCCUGUCCAGGCUGCUGUCAGGGUGAUGAAUCUGAACCUGUGGUCAGACACUGGGUGUGUGUAACUGCUUUUAAAACCACCUUGCGGAGGGCUUGCUGCAGGGGGUAUAGCUCAGUGGCAGAGCAUUUGACUGCAGAUCAAGAGGUCCCUGGUUCAACUCCAGGUGCCCCCUCUUUACCUCCUUUUCCAACCUUUCUUCUUUACAGACAGAAUAGGGAGAGACCUUCUUAUUCCCCAGAGGUUUUAGAAGUCACUUCAAGUUCUUUUGCCAAACUGUCAUGGUUUCAGCUGGGAGAGAACUAAUUUUCUUGGUUAAGGCUUGCAUGAUGCUGUGUUUUGGAUUUUUGAUUAAAAUAGUGGUGAUAAUACACUGAUGUUUUAGUUGCUGCAAAGCAGAGCUUCCACAGGACCAAGGACUUUUCUUCUCGUGCUGCCUUGCUGGGAGAAGGUUGGGAAUGCGCAAGCCAGGAGGGGGACACAGACCAAGACUGCUGACCCACACUGGCCAAAGAAAUACUCCGUACCAUAUGAUGCCGUGCAAUAAAAGCUGGGGUAAAGAAGGAGGCGGCUGACAACAUUUGGAGUUUCUUGGGCAGACAAAUGCCUUCAUGUAUGAUGAGCCGUGCUUUACUGGAAGUGGCUGAACGCCUGCCAGGUGAUGGGAAAUGGUGAAUUCAUUCCUUGUUUUGCUUUGUUUGUGGGCGCAGCUUGUGCUUUACCUAGUAAACUGCCUUUAUUACGA